GAUGAACGCUGGCGGCGUGCCUAAUACAUGCAAGUCGAGCGAACGGACGAGAAGCUUGCUUCUCUGAUGUUAGCGGCGGACGGGUGAGUAACACGUGGAUAACCUACCUAUAAGACUGGGAUAACUUCGGGAAACCGGAGCUAAUACCGGAUAAUAUUUUGAACCGCAUGGUUCAAAAGUGAAAGACGGUCUUGCUGUCACUUAUAGAUGGAUCCGCGCUGCAUUAGCUAGUUGGUAAGGUAACGGCUUACCAAGGCAACGAUGCAUAGCCGACCUGAGAGGGUGAUCGGCCACACUGGAACUGAGACACGGUCCAGACUCCUACGGGGGGCAGCAGUAGGGAAUCUUCCGCAAUGGGCGAAAGCCUGACGGAGCAACGCCGCGCGAGUGGUGAAGGUCUUCGGAUCGUAAAACUCUGUUAUUAGGGAAGAACAUAUGUGUAAGUAACUGUGCACAUCUUGACGGUACCUAAUCAGAAAGCCACGGCUAACUACGUG
RNAcentral lists this ribosomal RNA (497 nucleotides) under uncultured bacterium. RNAcentral describes it as "partial 16S ribosomal RNA". It matches the Rfam family "Bacterial small subunit ribosomal RNA", at positions 28 to 507 of the family's 1533-position model. The record is from RNAcentral.